CACCUCUGGAGAGGUGAGAGCCUUGGGAUGUGUCCCUAUGGAACAGGGACAGGGAUAGGGAGCACCCCUGGGGAGGUGAGAGCCCUGGGAUGUGUUCCUGUGGGACAGGGAACAUCCCUGGGGAAGUGAGAGCUCCCCAUGGAGCAGGGAACAUCCCUGGGGAAGUGAGAGCUCCCUAUGGAGCAGGGACAGGGAUAGGGAGCAGCCCUGGGGAGGUGAGAGCCUUGGGAUGUGUCCCCAUGGAACAGAGAUAGGGAUAGGGAACAGCCCUGGAGAGGUGAGAGAGCCUUGGGAAGUGUUCCUGUGGGACAGGGAACAGCCCUGGAGGGGUGAGAGCCUUGGGAAGUGUUCCUGUGGGACAGGGAACAGCCCUGGGGAGGUGAGAGCCUUGGGAAGUGUUCCUGUGGGACAGGGAACAGCCCUGGGGAAGUGGGAACCUUGGGAUGUGUCCCCAUGGAAUAGGGAUAGGGAACAGCCCUGGGAUGUGUCCCCAUGGAGCAGGGAACACCCCUGGGGAGGUGAGAGCCUUGG
Molecule: long non-coding RNA, 531 nt
Organism: Chiroxiphia lanceolata (lance-tailed manakin)
Lineage: Eukaryota; Metazoa; Chordata; Aves; Passeriformes; Pipridae
Exons: 3
Source: RefSeq, a predicted model, not a curated record